AGUGAACGCUGGCGGUAGGCCUAACACAUGCAAGUCGAACGGCAGCACAGUAAGAGCUUGCUCUUACGGGUGGCGAGUGGCGGACGGGUGAGGAAUACAUCGGAAUCUACUUUUUCGUGGGGGAUAACGUAGGGAAACUUACGCUAAUACCGCAUACGACCUACGGGUGAAAGCAGGGGAUCUUCGGACCUUGCGCGAUUGAAUGAGCCGAUGUCGGAUUAGCUAGUUGGCGGGGUAAAGGCCCACCAAGGCGACGAUCCGUAGCUGGUCUGAGAGGAUGAUCAGCCACACUGGAACUGAGACACGGUCCAGACUCCUACGGGAGGCAGAAGUGGGGAAUAUUGGACAAUGGGCGCAAGCCUGAUCCAGCCAUACCGCGUGGGUGAAGAAGGCCUUCGGGUUGUAAAGCCCUUUUGUUGGGAAAGAAAAGCAGCAGGUUAAUACCCCGCUGUUCUGACGGUACCCAAAGAAUAAGCACCGGCGAACUUCGU
This 491-nucleotide ribosomal RNA is filed under the name uncultured bacterium. RNAcentral's name for it is "partial 16S ribosomal RNA". It matches the Rfam family "Bacterial small subunit ribosomal RNA", at positions 29 to 506 of the family's 1533-position model. The record is from RNAcentral.